GCGGAUGUGGCGGAACUGGCAGACGCGCAGGAUUUAGGUUCCUGUGAGGAAACUCGUGCAGGUUCGAUCCCUGUCAUCCGCACUA
This 85-nucleotide transfer RNA is filed under the name Oenococcus oeni. RNAcentral describes it as "tRNA-Leu". It matches the Rfam family "tRNA". Rfam says of the family: Transfer RNA (tRNA) molecules are approximately 80 nucleotides in length. Their secondary structure includes four short double-helical elements and three loops (D, anti-codon, and T loops). Further hydrogen bonds mediate the characteristic L-shaped molecular structure. tRNAs have two regions of fundamental functional importance: the anti-codon, which is responsible for specific mRNA codon recognition, and the 3' end, to which the tRNAs corresponding amino acid is attached (by aminoacyl-tRNA synthetases). tRNAs cope with the degeneracy of the genetic code in two manners: having more than one tRNA (with a specific anti-codon) for a particular amino acid; and 'wobble' base-pairing, i.e. permitting non-standard base-pairing at the 3rd anti-codon position. Lineage: Bacteria; Bacillati; Bacillota; Bacilli; Lactobacillales; Lactobacillaceae. The record is from RNAcentral.